CUGCAACUAGAAUAUACAACUGUGUACUGGGGGGCUUUGGGGAGAAGAAAAAAAGAAGAUUGGCAACAGAUCUUAGCUCAGGUGCCAGUCUUAAAAAAAAAAAAUCAGUCUGAAAAAGGAUAACAAAACUAUGUAACUGCUUUUUCUUUUUUUAUAAAAGUAAUCCAAGGCCUGUUGUUAAAUAAAUGUAAAUUUCAGCGAGGCUCUUCCAUCCCCCACCCUGUGUGAAGCAACAUGCAUCAACUUACAUUUUCCCAAACUUAGGUCAACCAGGUCCUCUUUCCCCACGAUGGGGAGUAACUACUUGGAUUGCACAAAUGGGAUGCCCUUAUAUUUCCUAAAAUGACAGGCAUAAGUUGCAAGCUUCCCCACUGGGAACUAAUAUUUAUCAGUUAUUUCUCUUUAUUUGUAGAGGAGGAGCCCAAGGGCGAGGUUAAGUAACUUUUGGGUCACACAUGAAAGGUGGGGAUACCCACAUUAAUACACAGGUAUUAGGAGACACCAAAGGCCGUGAACUUUCCAUGGAGUACUUAUUAUUAUUUAAAAACAGGUUUAGAGAAUUUGGCAAUGCCCGCUACUCCCAGGCAAAAAAAUCUUAGAAAUGGCAGCCUAAUUUUAACUUUAUGUCAUCAUUGUGGGUGUGUGUGAUUUCACUGGGUUGCUGAAGGGGAAACAAUACAGAGUAAUGCGUGAAGCGCUCAUUCAAGGGCACGUAACCGUUAGUGUACUAAAUGCUGUCCGGUUCAGUGGUGGCCCUUAAAUCAUUUUCACUGCCUGGUAAGCUGGCUGAAAGUGGCCCUUGGGCACAAGAGAUGUGACUGGUGAUUACAGAGUGGCACAGUAGAGUUCAACUAGAACUUUAGAACUGAUAGGAGCAGAGUAGAAGAGCCUUUUAGCAUUUCCCCUUUUUUUUUUUUGCAGUGGCCAAUAAAAAGAUGGGCAUGGGAAAAAGCACAUUGGUGUGGCUUUGCACUGAUUUCACAUUGAGGAAGGCUCUUUGAUAACAGAAAAUUAGCCACUUCGUUUUAUACAAGGACACUGAGGCACAUGCGGUUAGUUGGUUUUCCUCAAUCAGACUUCCAGUCUGUGUACCUCCUCUCAAAACACUAUAUGUUGACUGUAUACUUCAUGUAGAUCAGAAAUUAGAAUUCAGUUUGGGGGACUAUGUGGUGGGGUAGUGGGCAAUCUAUCCACUCAUGGAAUUGGUUAUCAGAAUUAAGUGAGAGAAUAAACACUUGGCACUAUUGAAAAAGUGUUCACUAAGCUCAACAGUUUGUCUUUUUUCUAAGGUAAAAUUCACUGAACAAAAUGAGCCAUUAAUCAUUCUAAAGUGGACAGUGCAGUGGUAUUUGGUACAUUCAAGAUGUGCAACCAUCACCUGUAGCUGGUUCCAAGAUCUUUUCCUCACCCUAAAAGGAUACCCCUCACCCACUAGUAAUCACUCCCCAUUCCUCCUCCCCCCAGCCCUUAACAGACACUGGUCUACUGUCUGUCUCUGGGCUUACCAGUCUGGAUAUUUCAUAUUAAGGGAACCAUAUAACACAUGACCUUUUCAGUCUAGCUUCUUUCACUAAGAACGUUUUUGAGGUCCCUCCAUGUGUAGCAAGUAUCAGUGCUUCAUUCCUUUUUAUGUACGUUUAUGCUACACUUGUUUAUCCAUUCAUCCAAUAAUGGACAUUUGUGUUUGCAUGUUUUCAGUAUUGUAAAUAGUGCUGCAAGGAAUAUUCUUGAACAAGAAUUUGAGUAUCUGUUUUCAAUUCUUUGGGGUAUAUACCUAAGAGUAGAAUUGUUGGGUCAUAUGGUCAUUUUAUGUUUAAAUUUUUGAGGAACCACCAAACUUUUCCACCACAGCUGCACCAGUUUACACACCUGCUAGCAAUGUACAAGGGUUCUAACUUCUCCACACCCUCACCAACUCUUAUUUUCCAUUUUCUUGAUUCUAGCCAUUCUAGUGGGUGUGAAGUGGUAUCUCAUUGUGAUUUGAUCUGAAGUUCUCUAAUGACUAAUGACAUUGGGUAUCCCUGCAGGUGCUUUUUAGUCAUUUGUUUAUCUUUGGGGAAAUGUCUAAGUUAUUUGCCCAUUUUCUAAUUGGGUUGUCUUUUUGUUAAGUUGUAGUUCUUUAUAUGUUCUGGAUACUAGACGCUUAUCAGAUACAUGAUUUGCAAAUACCUUCUCCCAUUCUGUGAGCUGUCUUUUCACUCUCUUCAUAGAGCCCUUUGAUGUACAAAAAUUUUUAUUUUUGAUCAAGUCCAAUUUAUUUUUCCUUUUGUUGCUUGUACUUUUGGUGUCAUAUGUAAGAAACUAUUGCCAAAUCCAAGGUCAUAAAGAUUUAUCCCAUGUUUUCUUCUAAGAGUUUUAUGGGUUUAGGUCUGUGAUCCAUUUUGAGUUAAUUUUUGUAAAUGGUGUGAGGUAAGGGUCCAACUUCAUUCUAUUCCACGUGAAUAUGCAGUUGUCCCAGCACCAUUUGUUGAAGAGAAUAUUCUUUCCCCAUUAAACAGUACUUGCCCCUUUGUCAAAAGUUAGUUGACCAUAGCUGCAUGGGUUUACUGCUGGACUCUCAAUUCUAUUCUAUUGUUCUAUAUAUCUAUCCUCAUGCAAGUACCACACUGUAGUGUUGGAGUGAAAUUUGGAAUCAGCAAUUGUGAAUCCUCCAACUUUCUUCUUUUUCAAAAUUAUUUUGGUUUUUCUGGGUCCCUUGAGUUUACAGAUUAAUUUUAGGGUCAGCUUAUCAAUUUCUACAAAGAUGACAGUUGAUAUUCUGAUAAGAAUUAGAUUUAAUCUAUAGAUCACCUCAGGGAGUAUUGCUAUCUUUACAAUAUUAAGGCUUCCAAUUCAUGAACGUGGAUGUCUUUCCACUUAUUUAGGUCGUCAUUAACUUCUUUAAGCUGUGUUUUGUAGUUUUCAGUGUAUAACUUCUACACUUGUGUUAAAUUUAUUCCUAAGUAUUUUAUUCUUUUGAUGCUAUUGUAAAC
Molecule: long non-coding RNA, 2972 nt
Organism: Equus caballus (horse)
Lineage: Eukaryota; Metazoa; Chordata; Mammalia; Perissodactyla; Equidae
Source: Ensembl